Molecule: non-coding RNA, 107 nt
Organism: Pelobates cultripes (western spadefoot toad)
Lineage: Eukaryota; Metazoa; Chordata; Amphibia; Anura; Pelobatidae
Source: the annotation of a GenBank genome assembly
AUAACAAUACAGGACUCUGUAGAGGCCCUGUAAUUGUAAUGAGUCCACUUGAAAUCCUUUAACUUUGAUCAAUUGGAGGGCAAGUCUGGUGCAAGGUGGAGUUCCAC